UGAUGACGAGACGCUAAGGCGUUGAAGCAGUGUAUGUCAGACUUCCAAGAAAAGCUCGCAAUGUCACAAAUAAAAGAUGCCUGUACCAUAACCGACACAGGUGGGUAGGUAGAGUAUACUAAGGGGCGCGAGAUAACUCUCUCUAAGGAACUCGGCAAAAUGACUCCGUAACUUCGGGAGAAGGAGUGCCUUAUUUAUAAGGUUGCAAUAACAAGAUCCAAGCAACUGUUUAUCAAAAACACAGGUCUCCGCUAAGUCGUAAGACGAUGUAUGGGGGCUGACGCCUGCCCAGUGCCAGAAGGUUAAAGAAGUUGGUUAGUGUAUGCGAAGCUGAUGACUGAAGCCCUGGUGAACGGCGGCCGUAACUAUAACGGUCCUAAGGUAGCGAAAUUCCUUGUCGGGUAAGUUCCGACCCGCACGAAAGGCGUAAUGAUUUGGAUACUGUCUCGGAGAGAGGCUCGGUGAAAUAGACUUGUCUGUGGAGAUGCGGACUACCUGCACCAGGACAGAAAGACCCUAUGAAGCUUUACUGUAACUUGAAAUUGGAAUUGGACUUUGCUUGCGCAGUAUAGGUGGGAAGCGUUGAAAAUAUUCUUGCGGGAGUAUUGGAGCUAUCAGUGAGAUACCACUCUUGUAAUGUUAGAUUUCUAACUUUGAACCAUAAUCUGGUCAAAGAACAGUUUCAGGUGGGCAGUUUGACUGGGGCGGUCGCCUCCCAAAUGGUAACGGAGGCGUACAAAGGUUUCCUCUGAACGGAUAGAAAUCGUAUCUAGAGUGUAAAGGCAUAAGGAAGCUUGACUGUGAGACCUACAAGUCGAGCAGGGACGAAAGUCGGUCUUAGUGAUCUGACGGUACUGAGUGGAAAGGCCGUCACUCAACGGAUAAAAGUUACUCUAAGGAUAACAGGCUGAUCUCCCCCAAGAGUUCACAUCGACGGGGAGGUUUGGCACCUCGAUGUCGGCUCAUCACAUCCUGGGGCGGUAGUACGUCCCAAGGGUUGGGCUGUUCGCCCAUGAAAGCGGUACGCGAGCUGGGUUCAGAACGUCGUGAGACAGUUCGGUCCAUAUCCGGUGUAGGCGCUAGAAUAUUGAGAGGAGCCUUCUUUAGUACGAGAGGACCGAGAAGGACACACCGCUGGUGUACCAGUUAUCGUGCCAACGGUAAACGCUGGGUAGCUAUGUGUGGAGUGGAUAACCGCUGAAAGCAUCUAAGUGGGAAGCCCACCUCGAGAUGAGUAUUC
Molecule: ribosomal RNA, 1240 nt
Filed under: metagenome
Description: bacterial LSU rRNA
Rfam family: Bacterial large subunit ribosomal RNA
Source: RNAcentral